UCUACUCAACAAAUCACUACUCGGAUGCACGAAACAUCAAUCCCCAAGUGGACUUACGUCUAAGCCAGGCCUAGUUCAUGCAUGCUCGUAUGAUUCGACUUUCGCGGUGGAUAUCGGGUCCUCUAUGAGGAUUAAUCCCCUGUUCAAGCGACCGUCACCCGUAUCAGACUCUAACCCACUUAGGGUAUCUUUCACCGUAUGGGAC
This 205-nucleotide long non-coding RNA is filed under the name Lathyrus oleraceus (garden pea). RNAcentral's name for it is "Pisum sativum (pea) long non-coding RNA (PSAT_LNC023121)". Lineage: Eukaryota; Viridiplantae; Streptophyta; Magnoliopsida; Fabales; Fabaceae. The record is from RNAcentral.